RNAcentral lists this long non-coding RNA (795 nucleotides) under Homo sapiens (human). RNAcentral's name for it is "HSALNT0046230". The record is from RNAcentral. Lineage: Eukaryota; Metazoa; Chordata; Mammalia; Primates; Hominidae.
GGGCAGAAGUAAAUUUCUUUAUAAAUUACCCAGUCUGGGCCUGGUGUGUUGGCUCACAUGUGUAAUUCCAGAACUUUGGGAGGUCAAGGUGGGAGGAGCGCCUGGGCCCAGGGGUUCAAGACGAGCCUGGGCAACAUAGUGAGACCUGUCUCUAUAAAAUAUUUUUAAAAAUUAGCUGGGCGCGGUAUUUUUUAGAGAUUAUGAUUGUUCACCACAAGCUGCCUAGCAGGUAGCCCAAGGAUCCUGGAUCAACUUAGCUAUAUAGCAUCUUUUCUAUCUGAAUGCAGUAUUCUCUUACCCACAACCAUAUGAAGUCUACACAUAUUCAUUAACAGUAUUAUAUAAAAUACAAAAUUGGGACUAUGUCCCCUCAAGAUGAGCACAGUGCUAAGAGGUAAGAGAUGGGAAGUUUGUAUUAAGUUCAAACACUUUUGGCAAGAAUUUAUACAAUUUCAGGUAACUGGGCAUUUUAGGCAAAGCACACAACUUCAUGAUGUAUCACUGAGGAGGAUAAGAUAAACAGUUCUAAAAGCUGGUACAGGUGACAAAUUUUGUGCAAUUUUAAGUUUUACAUUUUUUUGUACAAAUAGGAUCUUGCUAUGCAGUCCAGGCUGGUCUUGAACUCCUGGCCUCAACUGAUCUUCCUGCCUUGAACCCCCAAAAUGCUGGGCUUACAGGUGUGAGCCACUGCACCUGCUGUUUUUAAAGAUAUUGUAACAUACUAUUAUUCUAAAACCUUAUCCUUUGUUGUAUCAGAAAAACGACAUCCUAGACUGGGCGCGGUGGCUCACGCCU